AGAUACCCUGGUAGUCCACGCCGUAAACGAUGUCGAUUUGGAGGUUGUGCCCUUGAGGCGUGGCUUCCGGAGCUAACGCGUUAAAUCGACCGCCUGGGGAGUACGGCCGCAAGGUUAAAACUCAAAUGAAUUGACGGGGGCCCGCACAAGCGGUGGAGCAUGUGGUUUAAUUCGAUGCAACGCGAAGAACCUUACCUGGUCUUGACAUCCACAGAACUUUCCAGAGAUGGAUUGGUGCCUUCGGGAACUGUGAGACAGGUGCUGCAUGGCUGUCGUCAGCUCGUGUUGUGAAAUGUUGGGUUAAGUCCCGCAACGAGCGCAACCCUUAUCCUUUGUUGCCAGCGGUUAGGCCGGGAACUCAAAGGAGACUGCCAGUGAUAAACUGGAGGAAGGUGGGGAUGACGUCAAGUCAUCAUGGCCCUUACGACCAGGGCUACACACGUGCUACAAUGGCGCAUACAAAGAGAAGCGACCUCGCGAGAGCAAGCGGACCUCAUAAAGUGCGUCGUAGUCCGGAUUGGAGUCUGCAACUCGACUCCAUGAAGUCGGAAUCGCUAGUAAUCGUAGAUCAGAAUGCUACGGUGAAUACGUUCCCGGGCCUUGUACACACCGCCCGUCACACCAUGGGAGUGGGUUGCAAAAGAAGUAGGUAGCUUAACCUUCGGGAGGGCGCUUACCACUUUGUGAUUCAUGACUGGGGUGAAGUCGUAACAAGGUAA
This 719-nucleotide ribosomal RNA is filed under the name Klebsiella pneumoniae. RNAcentral's name for it is "bacterial SSU rRNA". It matches the Rfam family "Bacterial small subunit ribosomal RNA", at positions 780 to 1499 of the family's 1533-position model. Lineage: Bacteria; Pseudomonadati; Pseudomonadota; Gammaproteobacteria; Enterobacterales; Enterobacteriaceae. The record is from RNAcentral.